RNAcentral lists this ribosomal RNA (292 nucleotides) under uncultured bacterium. RNAcentral's name for it is "partial 16S ribosomal RNA". It matches the Rfam family "Bacterial small subunit ribosomal RNA", at positions 505 to 796 of the family's 1533-position model. The record is from RNAcentral.
GUGUCAGCAGCCGCGGUAAGACGAACCGUGCGAACGUUGUUCGGAAUCACUGGGCUUAAAGGGCGCGUAGGCGGGUUCUCAAGUCUGGAGUGAAAGCCCACGGCUCAACCGUGGAAGCGCUUCGGAUACUGGGGGCCUCGAGGGAGGUAGGGGCGUGCGGAACUUCCGGUGGAGCGGUGAAAUGCGUAGAUAUCGGAAGGAACACCGGUGGCGAAAGCGGCGCGCUGGACCUCUUCUGACGCUGAGGCGCGAAAGCCAGGGGAGCAAACGGGAUUAGAAACCCUCGUAGUCC